Paramuricea clavata is the source of this 222-nucleotide non-coding RNA. Lineage: Eukaryota; Metazoa; Cnidaria; Anthozoa; Malacalcyonacea; Plexauridae. The record is from the annotation of a GenBank genome assembly.
CUAAUAUUAAUUCCACCAAGUGAAGUGCAAGAACUAAGUUAUUCAAGUCCACCUUAUCACAACCCGCACACCCGAUUACCUAUAUAUACAUGAACGUACGGUUACAGCUCAAUAGCUGGCCUGUGUAGCUCAGUUGGUUAGAGCGCUGCUUCGGAAUCGCAGGGCCGUAGGUUCGAUUCCUACCAGAGAAUCUUGUGCUGCAUUUUUCCCAGUCGUUCCUGG